UCGAUUUCGCAGAGCUGCUGCUCCCAAUUCACUCUGAACUAAUUCUCCCGAUCCACCAACUUGAUCACAUGGAGUAUCUCUCCGUCUCUGUGGUAACAUGAAGGAGAGUUAAUCUGCUCCAAGAAACCAAUACUCGCUCUCGAGCCUACGGCAGGUGGUUGCAUAAAGAUCUGGUUCUGCUGGUGUCCUAGCAGCUAUCACUCAAUUUUGCCACAGCACCAAGAGCUAAGGCCAGCAACGAGUCUUGCCGAUGCGCACAGGAUCAGAGAUGGAAGUGGACGAGAAGGGCAGGAGCAUCUGAUUUGCAUCACAAGCCUGGGCCCUCUUUACGACGCGUAUCUCUCUCUCUCUCUCUCUCUCUCUCUCACUCAUGGUUACGAUAAGAAACACCUGCAAGUUUAAUAAAUAUGACAUUAAUCUUGCAAACUGAUCGAGCAGCAAAACCUACCGCUUGUUCAUUUGUACACCUCGGUGUCCCCAGGAUCUCCAAGCCUCAGUCUUACUUCGCUUUAUGCCUCGUAUUGCGUAAGUAAGAUCUACUCAUAAGUAUGGAUGCAGGUGGAUAUUCAAUGGUGUUUUGCUAGGUCAGCCGAUUAGUUGCGAUGACAUACCACUUUAAUUAUUUUUUAAAAAAAUUAAUUAUAUAGAAUAUCAUUGUAGUUCAUUUUAUCAAAUUUGUAGAUCAACCUAAUAACUCAAAAUUUUUUAUGACUGGCAUCCCUUAAUUGCAUGUUUCAGGUAUGGGCUCUUAAACAUGAUUGAUAUAACAGAUUCGAUAGAACCCAAUCAUAAUUGAUACGGAUAUACUUCUCUAACUUCAGUAUCUCCAAUUAGAUUAUUUGUCCAGGACAAGGAAGAAGCGAAAACUUUAGAGUUCCAGCCAACAUGAGCCUAUCGAAGGCCAUUGGGGUAGUUAACGGCAUCAAUGAGUUUGGUAAUUUUUUUCAAUUGCUCAGAUCUGCUGUCUCGUAUAUGCGUUCCCAGUGGAAUGGGUCACAAGAGGAAAAACUUGAAGAAGAUUAUGUACUGCAGUUGCAGAGUGACCUUCGAUGCCUACGUGAUAUUCUACCAGCAAUGUACAACCUUAUUGAUAGAGCAGAGUGGAAGAGCCAUGUACUCGGUGUUGAACAGCUCCUUCCAAAUCUCAAGGAUGCAGUGUAUAAUGCAGAGGACCUUCUGGAUGAGUUCAGAUGGUAUGAGCUGAAGGUGGAAAUUGAGGGUAAUGCAACCCAGCUGUCUCCUUUCAUUGACUUCUUUCAUAACGUCACUCAUGGAAGCUUCAACAAAGUGGCUGAUAUCCAAAAAAGGCUAAGUAAUCUGUCUAGCCAGCUUGAGAAGAUGGGGUUGCAUGCAGCAACUCCACGGUUUGACAAAUCUCUCAGGCCAGUAACGACUUCUUUCCGCACUGAGCCCAAGAUAUUUGGUCGUCAAAAGGAAUUGAAGGAGGUGAUAAGAUUGCUUCGUGUACCGAACUGCAGUAGCAGGUCUUUUCCGAAACGGAGGAGAACUUCUAAUGCAGCCAAUAAUGACUGUAUGACAACAUUUAUUCCUGUUUUGCCAAUUGUUGGAAUCGGGGGUGUUGGAAAUACUACAGUGGCUCAAGAGAUCACCACACUUCAAAGGGUCAAAUACCACUUUGACAAAAUCAUAUGGAUUUGUAUCUCAGAUGAAUUUGAUGAGGAGAGGUUCACUAAAGUUCUGAUAAAAUCUCUAUCAGGCAAAGAGGCAACGGCUGAUAAUUUAGAUGAUCUUCAACAAGUUCUUGCUGGUGAAGUUGGAAAAAAGAGGUUCUUGCUAAUCCUUGAUGACAUUUGGCCUGAUGUCUUGAAGGAUGAUGGGCGUCGUUGGAGGAAAUUUUGUGGACCUUUCACAAAUGUACUUCGAGGAAGUGUGAUGUUAGUGACCACUAGGUUUCCAGAGGUUGCUGAUAUAGUGGGCACAAUGGACCCCUUUACAUUGGAAGGCUUGAAAGAUGAUGUAUUUUGGGAUUUUUUCAUACUCUGUGUGUUUGGGUCUGAGGAUUAUCCCAUUGAUCCCCAGUUAGAACAGAUUGGUAGAAGCAUACUUCCAAAGUUGAAAGGCACUCCUCUAGCUGCCAAGACUAUUGGAAGGCUAUUGAGGAAGAGCCUUAACCCUGCACACUGGAAUGAUAUACUAAACAGUGAAUUGUGGCAGCUUAGGCAACAGGAGACUGACAUUUUGCCAGCUCUUCGGUUGAGCUACAUGUAUUUGCCAGCUCUUCGGUUGAGCUACAUGUAUUUGUUAGACUUGAUCUCCCGCUUUGGGCCAUCGGAUCCCAACGGACCCGAUGACCCAACUCACCCCGCGCCCUGAUCGGGGGCGUUCCAGCCGUACCCUAGCUGGUGGGCCCCCGUCGCGCCGCGCAAUAUAAAAGGGGGUGGGGGCCAGCGGCUCGCAUUACGAAGUUGACCGGCCGCCGCCACCCCACCCACAAGAUCCUACCCGAUCUAAGUGAAGCGCGGCAAGCGGCGGGAAGUUCCUCCGGCAUUGACCUCGACGCCCCUGCACCGACUCCGAGCUCGCGGAUACGACCACACCGACGACCACCGGGACCCGUACGCCUACGGCCGAACCACUCCCAUCCCCGCACUACACCACCAAUGGCGGGCACGUCGGCUUCCGCUUCCGCCCUAGGGCACGAGGGAGGAGUAUCAAUGAUGUUUUCCAUCAACGAUAUUCCAAUAUUAAAGGGAGAUAAUUACAAUGAAUGGUACAGAAAGCUGGAUCUCUAUUUCAUCAUAGGUGAAUUAGAUUGGGUCCUAGCUACACCGACUCCUACAGAGCCUGUGCUUCCUGAAAGGGAGGACACAGACACAGAUGCUUCUUGGAAGCAAACAGAGCUUGCUUACAAGAAAGCAAAAGCAGAAUAUGAGAGGCUGUAUGCAAAAUGGCUCCCUGCCAACAAGAAAUGUUUGGCAGUGGUAAAGAAUACGAUUGAGCCUGCAAUUAUGGGCUCAAUCCCAGACUGUGCCACCGUCAUAGAGUAUCUUGAAAAAUUAAAGAACCAAUACACUGGUUCUUCAAAGACUUAUGCAACCCAGUUGAUCAAACAACUGGUUUCAGAGAGAUACACUGGCGGUGGCAUUAGAGAACACAUUCAUCGCAUGGUCAACCUGAAUAACAAGCUAAAGUCAUUGGACCUUGCCUUCAAGGAGGAUCACAUUGUCCAUCUGGUCUUUGCUUCGUUACCAAAAGAGUUUGACACUUUUGUUGUCAAUUACAACACCCAACCACAAACUUGGGACAUAGAAAAGACUAUUGCGAUGUGUGUUCAGGAGGAGGAAAGGAUCAGGUCCACCACUGGAGGAUCCUUAAACUAUGUGAACAAGAAGAAGCAUGCCAACUUUAAAGGCAAUUUUUCAUCUUCUUCUUCAUCCUCCUCUAAAGGUAAAAACUCUCAACAGCACAGACCGCAGGAGGGACACGCUCUAGUAGAUAAGGAUCAAUGUCUCUACUGCAAAGAGAGGGGUCACUACAAGAAGAACUGUCACAAAUACUUAAAGAUGGUCAUGGAAAAGAGAGGGAUUCCGUUCGACGAGAACCACUCAAAGAAGCGAAAAGCAAGUUAGAGUGGCGAAUGGAGAUCAGGCAGACGUUGAAGCAGUAGGAGACGUUCAUUUGGAACUCGACACUGGCUUCAUUAUUGUACUUAGAGAUGUUUUAUUUGUUCCUUCUUUACACAGAAACUUAAUUAGUGUGUCUCGCCUGGAUACAGAUGGUUAUUCUUGUCUAUUUGGAGAUGGGAAAUGUUUGAUCGAAUGUAAUGAUACAGUAAUUUCCACUGCAUUUAGAAAGAAUGAUCUUUAUUUGAUAUCGUUACGCGAAAGUGUUAAUUCCGUAUGCGAUAACAGUGCGAAUGUAUCCUCGC
RNA transcript from Panicum hallii, 3889 nucleotides. RefSeq lists it as uncharacterized. NCBI's taxonomy places the organism in Eukaryota, Viridiplantae, Streptophyta, Magnoliopsida, Poales, Poaceae. The record is from RefSeq and is a predicted model, not a curated record. The transcript is spliced from 4 exons.